RNAcentral lists this long non-coding RNA (339 nucleotides) under Bos taurus (domestic cattle). RNAcentral describes it as "long non-coding RNA NONBTAT018302". Lineage: Eukaryota; Metazoa; Chordata; Mammalia; Artiodactyla; Bovidae. The record is from RNAcentral.
ACUAAUUUGUAUGGAUACCUGGGAAUUAGGCAAUGUACUAAAUACUUUAUACAACUGUCCAAAGUACACCUGGCUUUCAGUCUCUGAACACAUCUGUGACAUAUAUGUACCAGGUCCCUAGAAAAGAAUAAGCCAAUUGUUUAAUAUUAUCUAAUACCUACAAGAUAAAAAUAUAUUUGAUAAGAACCAGUGGGGAGGACAAAGCUAUUUCCCACUUGAAAACAAAAUCAAAUGGCUUCAUGGGGCAGAGCCAAAAAUUGAGCACAACCAGUACCUAACAAAAAAAUGCGACACAGAAUCUCUUCUUUUCAGAUUGAACAUAAAGCUAUACACUAAUCA